RNAcentral lists this ribosomal RNA (577 nucleotides) under uncultured bacterium. RNAcentral's name for it is "bacterial SSU rRNA". It matches the Rfam family "Bacterial small subunit ribosomal RNA", at positions 173 to 767 of the family's 1533-position model. The record is from RNAcentral.
AUAAGCAUACAGCUUCGCAUGAAGCCGUGUGAAAAGAAGUAUCGGUGUAAGAUGGCUCCGCAUCUGAUUAGCUAGUUGGUGAGGUAAUGGCUCACCAAGGCAACGAUCAGUAGCCGGCCUGAGAGGGCGACCGGCCACAUUGGGACUGAGACACGGCCCAGACUCCUACGGGAGGCAGCAGUGGGGAAUCUUGCACAAUGGGGGAAACCCUGAUGCAGCAACGCCGCGUGAGCGAAGAAGUAUUUCGGUAUGUAAAGCUCUAUCAGUAGGGAAUAGAAAAGAAGGUACCUGACUAAGAAGCCCCGGCUAACUACGUGCCAGCAGCCGCGGUAAUACGUAGGGGGCAAGCGUUAUCCGGAUUUACUGGGUGUAAAGGGAGCGUAGACGGCUGUUUAAGUCAGAAGUGAAAGCCCAUUGCUUAACGAUGGGACUGCUUUUGAAACUAAGGAGCUGGAGUGCAGGAGAGGUAAGUGGAAUUCCUAGUGUAGCGGUGAAAUGCUUAGAGAUUAGGAGGAACACCAGUGGCGAAGGCGGCUUACUGGACUGUAACUGACGUUGAGGCUCGAAAGCGUGGGGA